Non-coding RNA from Homo sapiens (human), 148 nucleotides. It matches the Rfam family "Metazoan signal recognition particle RNA". Rfam says of the family: The signal recognition particle (SRP) is a universally conserved ribonucleoprotein. It is involved in the co-translational targeting of proteins to membranes. The record is from Rfam. NCBI's taxonomy places the organism in Eukaryota, Metazoa, Chordata, Mammalia, Primates, Hominidae.
GCCGGGUGUGGUGGCGGGCACCUGUAAUCCCAGCUACUCGGGAGGCUGAGGCAGGAUAAUUGCUUGAGCCCAGGAGACGGAGGUUGCAGUGAGCCGACACGGUGCCACUGCACUCCAGCCUGGUCAACAGAGUGGGACUCUGUCUCAA